This 460-nucleotide RNase P RNA is filed under the name Corynebacterium sp. Its description in RNAcentral is "RNase P RNA component class A". It matches the Rfam family "Bacterial RNase P class A". Rfam says of the family: Ribonuclease P (RNase P) is a ubiquitous endoribonuclease, found in archaea, bacteria and eukarya as well as chloroplasts and mitochondria. Its best characterised activity is the generation of mature 5'-ends of tRNAs by cleaving the 5'-leader elements of precursor-tRNAs. Lineage: Bacteria; Bacillati; Actinomycetota; Actinomycetes; Mycobacteriales; Corynebacteriaceae. The record is from RNAcentral.
UGAGCCGGCCGGGUAAUCGCGGGGGCGGAAUCGACAGCACAGCGAGUUCUCUGCUUGCAGAGACCGUGCCUGAUGCUGCGCAGACCGUCGUCGAGGAAAGUCCGGACUCCACAGAGCACGGAUGUUGCUAACAGCAACCCAGGGCGACCUGAGGGCACGUGCAACAGAAAGUAGACCGCCUGCAGACGCAAUAUCUGCAGGUAAGGGUGAAAGGGUGCGGUAAGAGCGCACCAGCACUGCAGGUGACUGUGGUGGCUAGGUAAACCCUUCCGGGAGCAAGGCAUGAUGGCGCACCAUUGCUGUGGUGCGCCGGCGCGGGCGUUUGAGGGCUGCUCGUCCAAGUCCGCGGGUAAGCCGCGUGAGGCUGCUAGCGAUGGCAGCCCAAGAUAGAUGAUUACCUCUUAUGCCGGGGGAGACCCCGCAUGGUAGACAAAAUCCGGCUUAUAGGCCGGCUCAUUCG